GGUAGGCAUUUGCCCUGGUGGAACGCCUCGUCAGAGCAGUGCACAGCAGGACCCCGUGGAGGAUCAACACAGUGGCUGAACACCGGGAAGGAACUGGCACUUUAAGUCCGGACAGCUGAAACUUGUUGCAGGUGUUGUGUCUUGGAUCCAUCACAGUCAGCUAACACCGGCAGCUCAGGACAAGUGGACCAGCCAGCAGGACGCAGAUCAUCCAACCCGGCUGAUCCUGAGAUGAGACCAAGCUGCUGCUGAGGAAGACAGCCCUGCUCUGGUCACUCCGGAGGCUGACCAGUCUACACGCGGCUGAAGCUUGAGGAGACAACAAGCCCUGUUCUAGUCACACACCAACAGCUGACUAGUCUAUGCACGGCUGAAGCUUGAGGACUCAUCAAGCAAGUAAAUGUAGUUAAAAAUCUUAAGACUAAUAGUUUUCCUGUAAUACUGUUUUCCUAUUGUUCUGUUGCUGUAUUCAACCUUUUUCCCAGAUCUAUAUGGCUGCCAACUAGAAAUUCUGAUCAGCAGGAAACAGGCAGUGUUACUGCACCAAGUGACUCCUGCCAGAAGCUAACACAAAAACAAAUCAACAGAAAAACUUGGGUUACGGAGUGAUGGUGUGAAGCCCUGCCACCUUUGGAUAUGUGAUUCCUGUUAGCCCUUACUACCAAGAAUGUUCUUGAGUACUGCCUCUGAGGACUGAAGUGUUCAAGAAGGCCCGACUGGAAACAGUCAGCCAGGCUAACCCUUUUAUUUUCUGUAUAAGGAAACAGCCCCAGAGAAGGUAAGUGAUGGAAUCAGAACCAGGACACAGGUAAAUACCUAAGAUAGCCUCAUGUUUGGGCUUUGCCCUUUUACUAGCAUUCCUUAGCAGAAAACAGGUCAGUGAGGACCCUGACUAUACUAUGGGGCCUGAUCUUAUAGGGUAGAGACCAUUGCGUAUUUGCGUUUUUCUCCCCACGGGACCUAGCACACCGCCUGACCCCUGGUAAGUGCUUGUUACAUCCUCCCUGAGUGAGUGGGUUGCGAGGGAGUAGGCUGAGAGGGUGGUACUUGUUGCA
This is a long non-coding RNA of Chlorocebus sabaeus (green monkey), 1055 nucleotides long. RefSeq lists it as uncharacterized. The record is from RefSeq and is a predicted model, not a curated record. NCBI's taxonomy places the organism in Eukaryota, Metazoa, Chordata, Mammalia, Primates, Cercopithecidae.